CCUAAAUCUCCAUUUCCUUUUCCGCCUCCUUCACCCUAUCUUCUUCUCCUUCAACUGAAACCCUAACACACUCACCCCAUCUUCUUCUUCGACUGAAACCCUAUCAAAGUAAAUUUCAUCACUUUCUUCUUGUGCUCCUCUCGGCCGGUCUCCAUCUCUAACCUAAAUUAAGAAAGAUGAGGCUAUAACCCCAUAUGAACAUUACCAGAACACUGCUCUUUUCUCCAUCUUCUUCAUCUCCCUCCUCCAAAUCAGAGAAACGAAACCAUAAUCCAUAUACCCAUAAAUCAAUACUCUAAUUUUAUUGGAAAUAGAUACUGAACCCAGUAGAUCUGAUGUUCUCUUAAGAUUUGGAUCAAAAUUAGAGUUUUGAUUUGGGGUUUUUGUUAGGGUUUCUUUUGAUUUAAUAGAAAAUGCUUUACGUUUGGUGAAGUUACAAAUUGAAAUGUUGCAGACCCCAAUCUGGGUAAAAUUGUAGUUUAUGAUGUGCGAAACUAUACCGAUUUGAUAAAGAUGGAAAUAAUCGUUCUUCCUACAAUUUUGGUUCAACAACAUACUGGGAAUGGGAGUCAGAUAUCAUGGUUCGUGCAUGCUACUGAUUUGUCUGAUGGUGAAUUGAAAGAAGAGGUGUUCUGUGCUCGAUUUGUAUACAUGGAGGGUUUCUGGCAUUUGCCAAACCUGGAGGUGUAUGAUGUGAGACUUUGGCGGAAUUGGUGGCUAUUCUAGCAGGGUGUAUAGGAGACUUUGGCGGUUCUAUCUAUAAUGUAGUUGGAUGUUUUAAUGGAAUGUGAAAGGCGAUAUAACCUUACUGUUUCUGGCAACCAUUUCCGCAGAGUACGGGAUGUGGAUUUGAAGCAUGACUUCGCCUUUGUUAAUUGUUUGUUGAUGAAAACUCGCAAUUGAAGGCCAUUGAUUUUGGCUUGUCCGAUUUUGUGAAACCAGAUAGAAGGCUUAAUGACAUCGUUGGAAGUGCAUACUAUGUUGCAUCUGAAGUUCUACAUAGAUCUUACAGUACAGAGGCUGAUGUGUGGAGUAUUGGUGUGAUAUCAUAUAUACUUUUAUGUGGAAGUUGUCCGUUCUUGGCUCGCACAGAGUCCGAGAUUUUCCCGCCCUUUAGGGCGGACUCGAUGAACCUCCUUGGCCUUCUUUAUCUUCUGAAGCCAAGCAUUUUGUCAAGCGUCUAUUGAAUAAAGACCCACAUGAACGAGUGAUGGCUGCUGAGGCAUUAAGUCAUCCUUGGAUUAGUAACUAUAAUGAUAUUCAAGCUCAUGAAAGCCUAUAUGUGCUCAUCAUCUCUACAUAAAGCGGUGUUAAGAGGAAAGAAGAGACUUGCUGAAGUUGCUAACAAUAAGCCCACUCUUGGACAAAAAUGUUAAAGUAGAAACUCCUCAGAAGUUAGGUGCUGAUGGCAAGAAAGGUGGUGCUGUUCAUCAAGGUACUCCUUACCCCAAGGGAGGAAAGACCCCUGUAAGUGGAGGCAAGUCAAACAAAUCUCUACUAGGGCAUUCGGUACAGUUCACAGUCAAGAACUGCAAUAGGUUUUGAUGUCUAUUAGCUUGUUCAGACACUUAUUUUUUGGUGCCUAGGAAGUUUGUUUUCUUACUUGCAAUCAUAUUUGUUUCUUUGUUCAUAAUGAAUAGAAUGAUUUUUUGUAAAUGAAUUGUAAAUUGGGGAUAGUUUGCAGGCCUAUGUUUCCAGUCAGUUGUUGUAUUGCAGGCCUAUGUUUCAGGUUCAGUUGUUGUAUUGCAGGCCUGUGUUUCUGGUUUAAUUGUGUAGGCCUGUAAACUGGAAGGCCAGGUCCAUGAUAAUGACCUGGACUAUCCAUUUUUUUUAAUUGUAAUUGAAAUAAUUGUCAUAGGGGCAACUGUGACCAAAACUGUGAAGAAAAACAACACGUGUCAUCA
Papaver somniferum (opium poppy) is the source of this 1904-nucleotide long non-coding RNA. RefSeq lists it as uncharacterized. The transcript is spliced from 10 exons. NCBI's taxonomy places the organism in Eukaryota, Viridiplantae, Streptophyta, Magnoliopsida, Ranunculales, Papaveraceae. The record is from RefSeq and is a predicted model, not a curated record.